AUGCCCUGCGGCACCGGGGCGUUGAUGCAAAUCAUCUGGGGGAGACGGCGAGGUCUGGCGCUCGACCUCCCGACCAAACCGAGCUCCGCCUCGCCGAGCAGGCCGGGGAGCGGGCGUGCUGGAGCUCUGCCUCCUCGGAGCGGGAUGGGGCACGACACGCAGGCGCUCGGUCUCGCCGGAGCGGUCAGGUACGCGGGGUCGCUGGAGCUCGGCCUCGCCGGAUUAGGCGGCGUCGGCGUCGGCUAG
Molecule: ribosomal RNA, 246 nt
Filed under: Triticum aestivum (bread wheat)
Lineage: Eukaryota; Viridiplantae; Streptophyta; Magnoliopsida; Poales; Poaceae
Description: partial small subunit ribosomal RNA
Source: RNAcentral